AACGAACGCUGGCGGCGUGGAUAAGACAUGCAAGUCGAACGCUCGUUCCGGGGUAGCAAUAUUCCGGAGCGGGAGUGGCGCAAGGGUGCGUAACACGUGGGUCAUUUGCCGUGAAGCUGGGAACAACUCGUUGAAAGACGAGCUAAUACCCAAUGUGCUCCGCAAGGAGUAAAGCCGGGGGCCGCAAGGCCUGGCACUUUACGAUAAGCCCGCGGCCUAUCAGCUAGUUGGCGGGGUAAAAGCCCACCAAGGCUAAGACGGGUAGCUGGUCUGAGAGGACGACCAGCCACACUGGAACUGAGACACGGUCCAGACACCUACGGGUGGCAGCAGUCGAGAAUUUUUCACAAUGGGCGCAAGCCUGAUGGAGCGACGCCGCGUGGGGGAGUGAAGGGGCGUUCGGCUCGUAAACCCCUGUCAUUCGCGAACAAUGGCGCCGGCCUAACAUGCCGUCGUCUGAUAGUAGCGGAAGAGGAAGGGGACGGCUAACGUCUGUGCCAGCAGCCGCGGUAAU
RNAcentral lists this ribosomal RNA (514 nucleotides) under uncultured bacterium. RNAcentral describes it as "bacterial SSU rRNA". It matches the Rfam family "Bacterial small subunit ribosomal RNA", at positions 29 to 524 of the family's 1533-position model. The record is from RNAcentral.